CUCAGUCGGUGCCGCCGCCGCCGCCCGCCCGGCCGGGCUGCCGCCGCCGCUCUUCUGCCGCUGCUGCUCCUCCCGGCCCGAACUUGAGACUCAUGAAGGGAGCGCGCAGGGCAGGGACGGGGCGGCCGCGGCGCGCAGCUCUGCCCGCACCGGCGGCAGCGCCCGCCGCGCCUCCAACUACCGCCGCCUCCUCCGCCGCCGCCGCCGCCUGACCAUUUGUGCCAGCCCCUCGAGCCCGCGCCCCCUCGCCCCGCCGCGCCGCGCUCCCUCCGACCGGUUUCCAGGCGCCCCGCAGUCUGCCUUUCACCGGGAGGGAGGAGCCUUGAAACCGACGCCGAACUUUCCUGCACCUGAUCCUUAAGGGAAGCCUACAAAACAUGCUCUACAGAAGUGAGCAUGGGAACUAGAUUUCCUAACUCUGCAGAACACCCAAAACCAUGGACUCAGUAGAGAUACUGAAGAAAUGUAGAUGAUCCCUUGUAAAUUAAAGCCUUAUGUUGCCUGCCUUUCCUGAUGUGUUCUGUGAUUGGGUGAGAGAGGAGCUGGGGCUGCAGUCUUUCUGCUGGUGGAAGAAGUUUUCCGGAAAACAAGAAAAAGUUAGAGCUCUUAAAAGGGCAAGUGCAGAUCACCAGCUCAUUUUGUUAAGAGAAAACAGGAACAUUUUUAUUUUCUUCUUUUUAUUUCCUGCUCUUAAGUGAAUUACUCUUCAAUUAAAUA
Molecule: long non-coding RNA, 717 nt
Organism: Rhea pennata
Lineage: Eukaryota; Metazoa; Chordata; Aves; Rheiformes; Rheidae
Exons: 3
Source: RefSeq, a predicted model, not a curated record